UACGUAGGGUGCGAGCGUUGUCCGGAAUUAUUGGGCGUAAAGGGCUCGUAGGCGGUUUGUCGCGUCGGGAGUGAAAACUCAGGGCUUAACCCUGAGCCUGCUUCCGAUACGGGCAGACUAGAGGUAUGCAGGGGAGAACGGAAUUCCUGGUGUAGCGGUGAAAUGCGCAGAUAUCAGGAGGAACACCGGUGGCGAAGGCGGUUCUCUAGGCAUUACCUGACGCUGAGGAGCGAAAGCGUGGGGAGCGAACAGG
This 253-nucleotide ribosomal RNA is filed under the name uncultured bacterium. RNAcentral describes it as "partial 16S ribosomal RNA". It matches the Rfam family "Bacterial small subunit ribosomal RNA", at positions 524 to 776 of the family's 1533-position model. The record is from RNAcentral.